Molecule: long non-coding RNA, 2846 nt
Filed under: Lathyrus oleraceus (garden pea)
Lineage: Eukaryota; Viridiplantae; Streptophyta; Magnoliopsida; Fabales; Fabaceae
Description: Pisum sativum (pea) long non-coding RNA (PSAT_LNC039519)
Source: RNAcentral
AAAUAUAAAUUGAAAUCUUACAAAAUGGCAUGUCACACCAAUCAAUCUUGUUUUUUGAGUGUUUUAUGCCUUGUUUUGAUGGUUAGUUCGGGUAAGAAUGAAAUUUUAUUUUUAUUUUUGAGUUUCAAUUUUAAAGUAGAAUUUACUAACACCAAAUGUUUUUUAUUGAAACAUAUAUUGCAUCUUUAUAUUCAAAAGAAAGUAAAAAAGACUCGUCUAAAAAAUUAUGUGAUUGUUUAACCCUUCUAAGAAGUUGAUUUCUUUUUAAACAAGAUAUGUAGAUCAAUAACAAUUCAAUUAUGGUUUAAUCAAUUCUCAAUUCGAAAGAACAUUAGAUUGAGAUUUUUAAUGUAAAAAUAAUGAAGCAAUGUCAGACACAAACUAAUUUUAAAUUUUGGUUGAUUCAGGAUUGGUUACCAGUAUUUUGGUCCCUCCCGGAGGAGUUUGUAUAGGGCCUUGUGUUGCAACGUGCGACCAGGAUUGCCGUGGCAAGGGAUUUGGAAAAGGGGGACAAUGUUAUACUCAUCUUGAGAAGACAACAUGUUGUUGUUUUCACCAAUGAAUUUUAUUGUAUGAGUUCAAUAAAAAUAAUAAAACGUGCACUUCAGUUUAGCUCUGGAACUUACUUUUUGUAAGAAAUUUGUGUAAAUCUUUAAAAUACUAUAAACACUAUUAUGAAUAAAUGAAAUUUAAAAUGGAAUAUAUAUUAUUUGCAUUGUCUUUUUUUUAUAAAAUAUUAAUUAAAUAUUUUAAUUAUUUAUGUUUUCAUGUUGAAUAAAAUGGAUGUUUUAAAUUUAUCAAAAAUAUGGUUCCCUUGAAAUCACAAAAAAUAUAUUAUACAUGGAUAGUUAGUGAGGAUGGAUUUAAAGACAGAAGAUAAAGAAUUUAUUUGAGUUAUGCAAAUAUUCUAAUUUUAAAUUCUUAAUAAUAGGUAAUCAAGUGUUUGGUUAAAAUUAUGAUUGAUAAAGUAUAUCUGAAAUUGUGUUUCAAAGAAAAUCCUUAUUCAUAUCCUACUAGUGGUGUUUAUUUUAAAAAAAAAAACUCUUAGUUUGAUGAUUAGGUAGAUCUUAAAAUCAAAGUUUUAACAAUCGAAAGGGUAACCAGUGAACUCUGAAGGGAUUAAUUAUUAAUAAAGAGAUAGACCAAUAUUAAUAAGUACAAGAGAGGGAAAAGAAGAGAAAGAGAAAGAAAGAGGAAAAGAGAAGGAGAAAGAAAGAAGAAAAGAGAAAGAGGAAUUAAUGGGUUUUGGUUAACCGUUUAACACAGAAACAAAAUGUAAUUUCUGUUUGUACAGAAUAUGUCACCAAGGGGAUUCGAACCCAGGACCUCCUUGAAACUAUAUAUGCCUUACCACUAGGCUAGAAAGGUUGUUGUUGAAUGUUUAUGCAGUGAAUAAAUAUUAACCUAAAAUUUGAUUAAGAUAGAUUGAUGAAUUAAUUGAGUAUUAUAGCUCCGUUUUGGAUGCGGACGGAUGCGUUAGUAAGAUAAUGGAAAAGGCUAUUAUUAUGAUAUCAUAUUAUAGUAUAUUAUGUGUCUUACAAAUUAAAUGAAUUAUAUUUAUGAUGGGUGUUAAACAUGGUUGAUAUGUUUGAUUGUGAAAUAACAUGAUUAAAAACCUUACCAAAGGAGAGUGAGGAAACCUAGGAGGAUAAAAUGAUUAAUAUAUAUAUAGUAUAUUAGUAUAAGAUAGUAUAUAUAUAUAUAUAUAUAUAAUAUAUAUAUAAUAUAUAUAUCAUAUAUAUUAUAUAUAUAUAUAUUAUAUAUAUAUAGUAUAUAUAUAUAUCUAUAUAAUAAUUGAAAUACGACAUAGACUUUUUUUUAAAUUAUUUGAGAAACAAUUUUGCGCACACUAGAAUUAAAUUUAUAAAAAUUGGGCAGUUAUUGUUUUUAGUCAGCAGAUUAAUGUUCGCCAAUUAGACUUUGUCAAGAAUUUAUGUUGUAUUUGUAAUUUUGGUACUAUUUUUUUGUGUUGUGAUGAUUUAAUUUUAGCACUUGUACGAAAUUUAAAUAAUUGAACUUGUGAAAUUGUUAUAAUUUGAUGUUUUGUAGGUGUCAUUGAUUUUUUAUUAGAGACCCAGAGUCACAUGUUUCGGAGGCCGGGUUUAAUAACUUUAUAUUUUUUGAUAGAAGACAGGUAUAUUAAAAAAUAACUUUUUCCCUAUUUAUUCGGUUUAGUCAUGCGGUUCGGACCUGUGGACCGGUGGUUCGACUAAUGAAUCGAGUUGCUCAAUACCCUGCGCGGAGCUGGUUUGAAUGACCCUGUUCGAACUUGUGUAAAACUUUGAUUUUAAGGAUCUAACCUAAGUCAAAUCAAACCUACAGAGUGUUUUUUUAAAAUAACACCCAGUAGUAGGAUAUGAAUAUAAGGAUUUUCUUCGAAACACAAUUUCAGAUUAUAUCUUUAUCAAUCAUAAUUUAACCAAACACUUGAUUACUAUAUAUAAGAAAUUUAAAAUUAAGAAUAUUUGGCAUAACUCAAAUAAAUUCUUUAUCUUGUGUCUUUAAAUCCAUCCUCAUAACAUCCAUGUAAAUAUAUUUUUUUAUGAUUUCAAAGGGAACCAUAUUUUUUGGAUAAAUUUAAAACAUCCAUUUUCAUUCAACAUGAAAAAUAAUAAUUAAAAUAUUUAAGUAAUUUUUAUAAAAAAAAAGACAAUGCAAUAAUAUUAUUCCAUUUUAAAUUUCAUUUAUUCAUAAUCGUGUUUAUAGUAUUUUAAAGAUUUAUACACAAUUUCUUACAAAAAGUAAAGUUCCAGAGCUAAACUGAAGUGCAUGUUUUAUUAUUUUUAUUGAACUCAUACAAUAAAUCAUUGGUGAAAACACAAAACAUGUUGUCUUCUCAAGAUGAG